This 426-nucleotide ribosomal RNA is filed under the name uncultured Pseudomonas sp. RNAcentral describes it as "bacterial SSU rRNA". It matches the Rfam family "Bacterial small subunit ribosomal RNA", at positions 356 to 774 of the family's 1533-position model. The record is from RNAcentral. Lineage: Bacteria; Pseudomonadati; Pseudomonadota; Gammaproteobacteria; Pseudomonadales; Pseudomonadaceae.
GGGGAAUAUUGGACAAUGGGCGAAAGCCUGAUCCAGCCAUGCCGCGUGUGUGAAGAAGGUCUUCGGAUUGUAAAGCACUUUAAGUUGGGAGGAAGGGCAGUAAGUUAAUACCUUGCUGUUUUGACGUUACCGACAGAAUAAGCACCGGCUAACUCUGUGCCAGCAGCCGCGGUAAUACAGAGGGUGCAAGCGUUAAUCGGAAUUACUGGGCGUAAAGCGCGCGUAGGUGGUUCGUUAAGUUGGAUGUGAAAGCCCCGGGCUCAACCUGGGAACUGCAUCCAAAACUGGCGAGCUAGAGUACGGUAGAGGGUGGUGGAAUUUCCUGUGUAGCGGUGAAAUGCGUAGAUAUAGGAAGGAACACCAGUGGCGAAGGCGACCACCUGGACUGAUACUGACACUGAGGUGCGAAAGCGUGGGGAGCAAACA